RNAcentral lists this ribosomal RNA (310 nucleotides) under Xanthomonas sp. AK(2010). RNAcentral's name for it is "bacterial SSU rRNA". It matches the Rfam family "Bacterial small subunit ribosomal RNA", at positions 195 to 505 of the family's 1533-position model. Lineage: Bacteria; Pseudomonadati; Pseudomonadota; Gammaproteobacteria; Lysobacterales; Lysobacteraceae. The record is from RNAcentral.
UUCACAUUAAAGUCACAACGGCAAAAGAUGAGCAUGCGUCCCAUUAGCUAGUUGGUAAGGUAACGGCUUACCAAGGCAACGAUGGGUAGGGGUCCUGAGAGGGAGAUCCCCCACACUGGUACUGAGACACGGACCAGACUCCUACGGGAGGCAGCAGUGAGGAAUAUUGGACAAUGGGCGCAAGCCUGAUCCAGCCAUGCCGCGUGCAGGAUGACGGUCCUAUGGAUUGUAAACUGCUUUUGUACAGGAAGAAACACUGGUUCGUGAACCAGCUUGACGGUACUGUAAGAAUAAGGAUCGGCUAACUCCG